This 468-nucleotide ribosomal RNA is filed under the name uncultured bacterium. RNAcentral's name for it is "partial 16S ribosomal RNA". It matches the Rfam family "Bacterial small subunit ribosomal RNA", at positions 28 to 507 of the family's 1533-position model. The record is from RNAcentral.
GACGAACGCUGGCGGCGUGCUUAACACAUGCAAGUCGAACGGAAAGGCCCUGCUUUUGUGGGGUGCUCGAGUGGCGAACGUGUGAGUAACACGUGAGUAACCUGCCCUUGACUUUGGGAUAACUUCAGGAAACUGGGGCUAAUACCGGAUAGGAGCUCCUGCUGCAUGGUGGGGGUUGGAAAGUUUCGGCGGUUGGGGAUGGACUUGCGGCUUAUCAUCUUGUUGGUGGGGUAGCGGCUUACCAAGGCUUUGACGGGUAGCCGGCCUGAGAGGGUGACCGGCCACAUUGGGACUGAGAUACGGCCCAGACUCCUACGGGAGGCAGCAGUGGGGAAUAUUGCACAAUGGGCGGAAGCCUGAUGCAGCAACGCCGCGUGCGGGAUGACGGCCUUCGGGUUGUAAACCGCUUUCGCCUGUGACGAAGCGUGAGUGACGGUAAUGGGUAAAGAAGCACCGGCUAACUACGUG